RNAcentral lists this non-coding RNA (31 nucleotides) under Homo sapiens (human). Lineage: Eukaryota; Metazoa; Chordata; Mammalia; Primates; Hominidae. The record is from RNAcentral.
UGGAAAAGCUGAUGAAGCUACAACUGUGGUA